AUUUGGUUACUUUUUGUUAGGUAUUUUCAAACUAAUCUUAAAACUGUAUUCUGCUGCUGCUAAUAAACUACAUCCCUCUAUGUUGCUGUCUAUUUAAACAUUAUUUUAUCCAUUGUAAAUUAACAUGGAAAGCAGUGCCAUACUCAAAACAUUCUGAUCCUGGUAUAAAUCCUGCUAUAAAUUAAUUUGACUUCCUGGUACUCUCAUAUGUACUUGUUAUUUUCAGAACCUGUUAUAUGGAAAGAAGUAGUUCUUGAAAUAGUACUAUUAUGGUAAAUAGUCAGAAUUGCUAAGUACAUAUAAUAUACUUUGCAUGUUCAAGGCAUUUUAUGUACACUGACUUAUUUGCUAUUAGACAUGCUUGUUUUUAACAUCUUUUCUAAAAAAGGAAAUCAUUUAACCUCCCCCCCAGCGUUCUGACAUUCAGCUGCUUAAAAGCAGCAAGAUGAUACACUUCUACACAAGCAUUUUACUGAGUGAGUCAAAGCUGAAUCCAUUCUUCAAGUUUGCAACGUGCCUUGGCUGCAGUUGGUGCGUAAAAGCACAUUUGGUUCCUGAGUCAUAUAAUAACGGACUAGCUUUCUGAGCUGGGGAUCCAUCUGCACUGUUUGCAUCAAUAGCUCUUUUCCCUCUUAAUGUGUAGGAGGACUAUCAACUGAGAGCACCCUAAAUAAGCCUGCUCCCACCUGUUGUUUCUGGCUGUAGGUUUUAAGAACUGAUGAAUCCAAGUGAAGUGUAGCUGUGAAGGAAAUGCAGUCCCUCCAUUCAUGAGAAAUUUCAAAUUUUACCAAUGGCUUCUAUUAUGCUGAAUGCUGCUCAUACAUUCCUUCACUGAACUGCUUGCUGCCUUAGGCCAUCUAACACCAGCUUGCUGACUUGCUGACUGUGUAUAUGGAUAUAUGGAUGGGGGCAAGAGAGGAAAAAAAGAGGAAACAAACAGAGACAACUGCAAGAUAUGAGGCAAUAGUACAAAGAUAUGAUGAACAUGAAUAAGAAUCAACAAGUGAUGUAAGCAUGAAAUCAGCUAGAAUCUAAAUAAGGAAAGGUAGAAUUUAAUUGGAUGACAGCAAAUGAAGGGACUGAAAAGUAUAAAAGAAGAGUUUUGUGAACAGUGACUUGGGUACCGGGAACUGAAGACACCACUGUGCACAUAUGCAGGAGUCCCCUUGCCUGAUGACUGCACCUGGCCAGCAAUGUCACUGAGCAAGGCUAUUCAUCCCACAUGUAAUGUUUUGUGCUGCUUUGUUUUGUUUAAUCUGUCAAUAAAUCAGUGUGUCCC
Long non-coding RNA from Gavialis gangeticus (Gharial), 1279 nucleotides. RefSeq lists it as uncharacterized. NCBI's taxonomy places the organism in Eukaryota, Metazoa, Chordata, Crocodylia, Gavialidae. The transcript is spliced from 2 exons. The record is from RefSeq and is a predicted model, not a curated record.